AAAGUCGUAACAAGGUUUCCGUAGGUGAACCUGCGGAAGGAUCAUUAACACGUAUCCAUACGUAUUAUAUACCAAACCGUGAACUCGUUUGUAACAAUGAAAAGGCGCGAUUGGAAACGAUCAAGCCUGUAUCUUAUUACAACUUAUAAACCACUAGUAAACCAUUGAACUAAACCUAAGAAUGUAAUGAGCUCUAACGAGCGCUUUACUUCUGUAUUUACGAAACGUAAAAACAAUUCUUAGCAACGGAUAUCUUGGUUCUC
RNAcentral lists this unclassified non-coding RNA (263 nucleotides) under Basidiomycota sp. RNAcentral describes it as "partial contains small subunit ribosomal RNA, internal transcribed spacer 1, and 5.8S ribosomal RNA". The stretch from base 1 to 47 matches the Rfam family "Eukaryotic small subunit ribosomal RNA", at positions 1785 to 1831 of the family's 1831-position model. Lineage: Eukaryota; Fungi; Basidiomycota. The record is from RNAcentral.